Chlorocebus sabaeus (green monkey) is the source of this 834-nucleotide non-coding RNA. NCBI's taxonomy places the organism in Eukaryota, Metazoa, Chordata, Mammalia, Primates, Cercopithecidae. The record is from the annotation of a RefSeq genome assembly.
CUCUGUUUUAGUUCAUAACAAUUGGUUUCUAAGAACUUAGGCAUUUGUGGAGACAAAGAUAUCACUGUAUGAACUGCCAUAUAAGGACAGGGGCGUCCCUCCUCCUCUGCUCCUGUUCACAAGGACCCUGAACUGGCAAAGCUCCCAUCCUGCCCUGAGCCUGCCAUGGGCACCAGGCUCCUCUGCUGGGCGGCCCUCUGUCUCCUGCGGGCAGAACUCACAGAAGCUGGAGUUGCCCAGUCCCCCAGAUAUAAGAUUACAGAGAAAAGCCAGGCUGUGGCUUUUUGGUGUGAUCCUAUAUCUGGUCAUGCUACUCUUUACUGGUACCGGCAGAUCCUGGGACAGGGCCCGGAGCUUCUGGUUCAGUUUCAGAAUGACGGUGUAGUAGAUGAUUCACAGUUGCCUAAGGAUCGAUUUUCUGCAGAGAGGCUCAAAGGAGUAAACUCCACUCUCAGGAUCCAGCCUGCAGAGCUUGGGGACUCGGCCGUAUAUCUCUGUGCCAGCAGCUUAGCCACAGCAGUGCAGAGACACUUCCCUCCUGUGCACAAAACUGCAGGGCUCUCUCCUCUCUCCUCAGCUCACAGCGGCCUUUCCUUAUUCCUCAUCCUCCCAGGGAAGAAGCGAGUUUUCAGAUAUAGCUAGGAUUCAUAUAGUGGGAGGAAAUGAACUAUUUCUUAAAACAUGAGUGCUAUAAUUGUUGUUUGAAAAUGUGUCUCAGGGAUUUGAAAGACUUCUGGGUGGGAAUUCAAGAAACCAAAACUGAAAGUGAUUUAUCACAGACCUAGUCCUCAGGCGCAGUGAUGAUUGUUCUUCUAUAAAAAAUGUGUACAAUGC